AUUGAACGCUGGCGGCAGGCCUAACACAUGCAAGUCGAACGGUAACAGGAAGCAGCUUGCUGCUUUGCUGACGAGUGACGGACGGGUGAGUAAUGUCUGGGAAACUGCCUGAUGGAGGGGGAUAACUACUGGAAACGGUAGCUAAUACCGCAUAACGUCGCAAGACCAAAGAGGGGGACCUUCGGGCCUCUUGCCAUCGGAUGUGCCCAGAUGGGAUUAGCUUGUUGGUGGGGUAACGGCUCACCAAGGCGACGAUCCCUAGCUGGUCUGAGAGGAUGACCAGCCACACUGGAACUGAGACACGGUCCAGACUCCUACGGGAGGCAGCAGUGGGGAAUAUUGCACAACGGGCGCAAGCCUGAUGCAGCCAUGCCGCGUGUAUGAAGAAGGCCUUCGGGUUGUAAAGUACUUUCAGCGGGGAGGAAGGGAGUAAAGUUAAUACCUUUACUCAUUGACGUUACCCGCAGAAGAAGCACCGGCUAACUCCGUG
This 490-nucleotide ribosomal RNA is filed under the name uncultured bacterium. RNAcentral describes it as "partial 16S ribosomal RNA". It matches the Rfam family "Bacterial small subunit ribosomal RNA", at positions 30 to 507 of the family's 1533-position model. The record is from RNAcentral.